RNAcentral lists this ribosomal RNA (468 nucleotides) under uncultured bacterium. RNAcentral's name for it is "partial 16S ribosomal RNA". It matches the Rfam family "Bacterial small subunit ribosomal RNA", at positions 28 to 507 of the family's 1533-position model. The record is from RNAcentral.
GACGAACGCUGGCGGCGUGCUUAACACAUGCAAGUCGAACGGAAAGGCCCUGCUUUUGUGGGGUGCUCGAGUGGCGAACGGGUGAGUAACACGUGAGUAACCUGCCCUUGACUUUGGGAUAACUUCAGGAAACUGGGGCUAAUACCGGAUAGGAGCUCCUGCUGCAUGGUGGGGGUUGGAAAGUUUCGGCGGUUGGGGAUGGCCUCGCGGCUUAUCAGCUUGUUGGUGGGGUAGUGGCUUACCAAGGCUUUGACGGGUAGCCGGCCUGAGAGGGUGACCGGCCACAUUGGGACUGAGAUACGGCCCAGCCUCCUACGGGAGGCAGCAGUGGGGAAUAUUGCACAAUGGGCGGAAGCCUGAUGCAGCAACGCCGCGUGCGGGAUGACGGCCUUCGGGUUGUACACCGCUUUCGCCUGUGACGAAGCGUGAGUGACGGUAAUGGGUAAAGAAGCACCGGCUAACUACGUG